Molecule: ribosomal RNA, 497 nt
Filed under: uncultured bacterium
Lineage: Bacteria
Description: partial 16S ribosomal RNA
Rfam family: Bacterial small subunit ribosomal RNA
Source: RNAcentral
GAUGAACGCUGGCGGCGUGCCUAAUACAUGCAAGUCGAGCGAACGGACGAGAAGCUUGCUUCUCUGAUGUUAGCGGCGGACGGGUGAGUAACACGUGGAUAACCUACCUAUAAGACUGGGAUAACUUCGGGAAACCGGAGCUAAUACCGGAUAAUAUUUUGAACCGCAUGGUUCAAAAGUGAAAGACGGUCUUGCUGUCACUUAUAGAUGGAUCCGCGCUGCAUUAGCUAGUUGGUAAGGUAACGGCUUACCAAGGCAACGAUGCAUAGCAGACCUGAGAGGGUGAUCGGCGACACUGGAGCUGAGAGACGGUCCAGACUCCUACGGGAGGCAGCAGUAGGGAAUCUUCCGCAAUGGGCGAAAGCCUGACGGAGCAACGCCGCGUGAGUGAUGAAGGUCUUCGGAUCGUAAAACUCUGUUAUUAGGGAAGAACAUAUGUGUAAGUAACUGUGCACAUCUUGACGGUACCUAAUCAGAAAGCCACGGCUAACUACGUG